GACAAUUUCAGAUUUUAGAGUCGGCCAUGAUUGUUUAUAGUGACGAUAGUAUUUGGAACAAGAAAUAUCAACUUUAAUACUUUAAAAUAGUAGUUGAUACAAUGUCUGAGAAGGAAGAAGGAGAAAUUAGUGAUUCGGAUGCCAACGAUGCCCAGGAUUAUUUUGAUAGAUCAGUUUAUAGCGAUAUUUCUUCAGACGACAAUUGUCUAACGAAAUGCGGGGUUCACGUGGCUGGGCUGGAUAGAAAUUCUAACUCAUUUGCAAAUAUAAAAGAUCAAUCAGAAAGUAAUGGAUUUGACGAUGGGAAUUCCUCAAGUUCUGUAGGUACAGAAGCACACUUCCUUUUGGAAUAUCAAAGCAUGGAGAAAAAGCUAGAUGAUAUUGAGCAAGGGCUGACUGAAGAAAAGGAUGUAGUUGAUAAAAUAUUAGCAUCUUCUUGUCAAACAUCUGAUGGAGAAAUCACUGACUCAACUAUAUCUUCCAUCGAAUCAGAUGACUCUGAGGAUGAUAUGAAUCUUCUAAAACUACGAUUUAAGGCUUUGCAAUCAGCAGUUAAAAUAAAGGCAAGUGAAAAUCUCAGUAAGAAGAGACGACUACCAUCCCCACCGAGACAUCGUCAUUAUUUUCAAAAAUCUUCAACUUACAGAAGGGGAGAAAGUCAUCGUCAAAGCAAGAUGUUAAAAGUUUUGAAACUGAAAACUCACGAAGACCAAGUAAAUGCUUUUUUAAAGUUAAUGGGUGAAUCAAACAUUCGAUCAGAUAAUUGCAAUUUAGAAAAGCAUUUAAUUAAUGCUACGGAUCAGAUUGAAUUCAUUCCCGGCUUAACGUUGAUUGAUCAAAACUCUAUGACUUCUCACUUGAAUACAGAAUCAAUGGAUAGCGUAUUUCCGCAACUUAGCUUCCAAAAUCGAAAUGAUGACAAAAAUAAUCAUGCAGUUUUUACGUAUCCCAAUAAUCUGAAAUCAGAUCAAUUUGUUAUUUUUGAAAAGAAAGACUGUGAACAGGAGGGUCUUAGCUCAGCGGCAAAUUCUAAUGCGAUUAAUGACAAUAUAGAUGAGAAAAUAAAUACUUUGCUUGAAGAUGUCAGAAAAGAGAGUCUAGAUACUCCAGAUGUAGAAAAAUUGUCAUCUAACAGUCAAGAAUCAUCUCGAGUAACUUCUCCUAGCGGAGAUAUAGUACUAGAAGAAGUCGAAAAAGAGGAAAGAGAGCGAGAAAAAGAAGCGGCAAACCUUCGCCGUGAAAUUGACCUUCUUCAAGAACAGAUUUUAAGAGAAAAUCUUGUGAGGAAGCAAGCAGAGAGACAGGCUUUGGAAAAGAAAAAACAAGCUGAGAACUCAACAAAGAAAAAUGACGAUAUUUUGAAAAAAAUGAGAGAGAAUAUUUUAAAUCGAAUGAAUUCCAAAACGACAACGGGAAAAACGAUUAAAAAGAGUGCCUCCUCUCCUGCAUUCCUUAAACAACUCUCUAAAACAAAAGAAAUUGUUAUUAAAUUGGGAGAAGAUUCAACUAGUAGUGAAAGCGAUUCAGAUUUAGAGAAACGCAAUUUAAGUAAUGUGAAUAAACAAGAAUUAAAUGAGAAAACUCUGGGAAAUUGCUCAAACGUUUCAACGAAGGCUAUUCUUCAAGAACAUCGUUCGCUACGGAAAAGAACUAUUGCUCAAACUGAAACUCCAUUGAGAAAAACUUGCUCCCCAAUACAGGAAACAAACGAGACUGACUCAAUAAAUCUUAUAUGCAAACAGGUUCUAAAUGAAAUAAUCGAUAGACUGAUACCUGCCAAACCGAGAAAAUGUAUUAGAAAAUUAUCAAAAGUAAAAACCAAGUCUUCAAAACCUAAUCUAAAAUUGAGUAAGGUCUUGGAGAGAAAACUAGUGGCGGUAGAAGGUGAAUGGAAAAAACAGAAGUUGCUGAGACUAAAAUAUAAAAUGCUGGAGGAACGUAAGCGAACGAAGUUGGAUGAACAAGAGCUGACUUCUGUAGGUAACUUGAGAGCUCAGCGCCGAGCCACAAUUUUAAAAGAAAAAAAACGCUUAAAAAAAUUGGAAGAACAGCUAGCAGUAGCCAAAAGGGUGAUAACUACCAGUGAAGAGCAACUUUCAGAGUUAGACAAAAAGUUACAAGUAAUUCGAGAAAGAUUAGCUACUAGGCGUAGUAACGAGCUCUCACUUCGUCAAGAAUUAGAAACUUUAGUAAAUCAACCUAAUAGUGCUUUAAGAAAAAGUGAACCUGAAAAAAUUAAAGAGUACACCUUUGACGAUGUAUUUGGUUUGAAAGAAGAAACGAUAAAUAUCUUAAACAAACAACUAUCCAACGGAAAUUCUGAAAAUACCAACAAAUUAUAUAUGCAGUUCAUGAGUAAACUUCCAAAGGAAUGUUCAAAUGUUGUAAUUGGAUAUGAAAAUAAACAUCCUACAAUCACUUUUUUAAAUUUCUCUUCCGAGACUGAAAAAAAUACCCUGAACAAAAAAAUAGGAACUUUUUCUACUGGAAAAUUUACAAUAUAUGACAGCCCUUUGAAAGCUUUCAGACUAUAUAGAUUUAAAGAUCACAGCAAGUUGAAUAGCUCAAUAUACUCUUACUAUCAUUCUGCUGAUAGGAUUUUAUGUAGAUAUCAUUUGAACGGAAAAUGUCAAGAUGAAAAGUGCAAUAACCUUCACUUGGCUGAACCAUCUAUCAAAGAGAUACUACUUGAUUUAGUGUCUUAUGUACCGACCAUUGCUGGAGUCUCACGUACAACCCCGACUAAACAAAUUCCGAUGAUCCUAGAAAACUAUAUCGUUGAUUUUAUGAGAGACAAACAAGAGCUGAACAAGGAAGACUGCCUAGCUCUGAUGAUGCGUUUGAUAAAACAAAAAGUGCAAUUUUCUUCAGUUUUUGACCUCUCUAGAAAGUGGAAUCCGUUUGAAUAUUUAAAAGAAACUUCAGCCGUUCAUAGCUUGAAAUUAAAUUGUGAAAAUGACAAGGCAGAAAAUAAAAGGGUCAAAAAGCAGUAUGAUCUGGUUACAUUUGAUCAAUUGUGCAAUAAAACAGCUUCAGAUAAGAAAGAAUCUGUAAGAGGAUUUCAACAAGAAAUUGAAGAAACAAUUAAUUCUAAGGAUAUUCGUUAUUGGUUGAAUGACAACCAAAGUUGCAUUGGCAAAGAAUUAGAAAGUGCAGUAAAAACUGAAAAAAGUAACAUAUCAUUAUGGUUAAGAUUCGCCUAUUCAAAGUUACAUGAUUCCAAUGGUGCUGAUUAUGAUUCAGCCUUAAAAAUUCUUGCAAAAGCCAUUCAAACGAAUGAAAAAGAAUCCUUAUUAUGGAUUCAUUACUUAACCCUGUAUGAAAAAUCUGAAAGACAAUCCAGUCUAAAAUUGGUGUAUCAAAUGGCUUUGAAAAAAGCUCCAACAUAUAAUAUUUGGUGGAAAUAUUUGAUGAAGCAGAAAGGAGUUGAAGCUGUAUGUGAAACUUGCGAUAAAAUUAUUGCUUUCAUAAUGGGGAUGGAAAAAAAUGAUAUAGCUUCUCAUUAUUUACUAGAAGUUACGAUUUAUAAGGCGACAAUUUUGCGACAAGCUGGCUUAUACAAUGAAGCUUUAAAAUUUUUGGAUAAAAGUCGCUUAAACAAAGAUAUAACCACAAUCAUGAAUACUGAAGAUUUAUCUGUUUUACUAUUUACCUUUAUAUACCUUGCUGAAUUUUCCACGAUACCCAGUGCCUUUUUUGAUCCUGCUCAAUCGAUACCAUCAAAAAUUGUAAGAAAGACAGCUUUAUAUAUGGCAUGGAAAAGCGGAACUAAGAAAACUAAAUUGAAAGUUUCAACUCUAGACUCGUUAUUUAAACAAGCAUUUGUGCGACUAAAAGGAAGGGAACUUAAGGGAGAUAAUUGUAUCAAUCUUGCCUUUAUCGACAAAGAAAUAGUUUUGGGAAAAACAGAUAAGGCAAAAAUCUUUGUUGAAACAAAAAUCAAAUCAGAACCAAAUUGUGUCAUUCUAUGGAAAUAUUUGAAAAAGAUAUGUUCUAUAACGGGAGAAAGUUUCUGCAGUGACUUCGUUGACCUAGAAUGUGCAAGUUCUGAAUUAACUUUCUUCUUAGCUAUUUCUGUCGAAACGAAAGAAAACGCAUUAAAAAUUAUUGAAGACUACCCAAAAAAGAUUUUAAAAAAUCCGGUACAAUGUGAAAGAAAUAUAGUUAUACACUGUUACUUAAAACUUAUCAAAGAGCCCCUUCCUCUUGAUGGAGAUUUACCAGAACUGAAAAAUUUUAAAACCGAAGAAGACGAUCCCUUCACAUGGCUCUGCUAUUGCUAUUAUUUACAAGCAAGUGAGUUCAAUUUUGAAACAAUCAAAGAAGCUUUUGAGUGUGCGUUGUGUCGAGUUAAGGAGAAAAAUAGCUACCUAAUUUGGAAAAGCUAUCUGAAAUUUAUAAAUGAAAAUUGCCCCAAAAAACUGUGGAUUAUGGUUCGUCGUUGUCUUGCGAGCACGUCUGUCAAUAUCAAUUUUCCGUAUUCAAAUCUUACGUUUUUGGAUUGUGACGGUCAAAACGAAAUUUUCAACUGGUUGUUCUCGAAUUUGACAACAAACGACGUACUAAAAGUAGAAGAAAAGUUGAUUGAGUGGAUGCCGAGAAAUCCCCAACUCGUUUGCAGGUUACUGAAAAAUUAACAAAAUUUUCUUUUAGUGACUGAUUUUUUUAGAACCCUACUGGAUUUUUGGAAAAAAAGAGAUAUGGCUUCUGUUCGGGCAAUUUCACAAAGAUCUUUACUUCAACUACCUAAUUGCCUUCCAAUUGCCUUAUUUCUCGUCGCAUCUCUUCACGAAGAAAAGAAAUAUUUACAGGUAAGAUAUAUUAUUAAAAAUUCUUGCAAAACAUAUAUUUAGUCAUAGCUAUCAACGAGAGGAGUUGUGUGUUAAACGUUUGACAGGUUAAGAAAAUUCUUAGUCGCCUUUCUACGCAGUUUCCUCUGAAUGAAGUGAUAUGGAAACACGUGCGUUGCUAAAGUUAACAUUCUUAGAGAUAUUUUAGAUCCCAACAAUUAAAAAAUUUUAGGUCAUCAUUUGUGCGCUGUGGGCCAAAGAUAAAAAUUGGAUAACAGAUACGGUGAAAAAGUGUAAAGAGUAUGGUAUAGACGUCGAGAAACAUGUCGUGUCAUCCUGUUUCGGAGUUGCUUUGAAAAAAGUCGCUCGUGAAAAAACAGGUGAGUAGCCUUCUAGUUUAGGAAGUAAAAAUUUCCAACUUCAAAAUUCAUUAUGCAUUCAAACUGUGGUGCUAUAACUUCUCCUUUAACGAAAAAACCGGUUAAAAAUUAUUUUUGGAUUAUUCUCUCUGCGGAUUUUACACAUUGUAAACGUUGAUUGAUAUUGUUGAAAUUGCUUUGUUCUAAUUGUCAUAUGUUAAAUUUUUUGG
RNAcentral lists this unclassified non-coding RNA (5379 nucleotides) under Dimorphilus gyrociliatus. Its description in RNAcentral is "c3H1-type domain-containing protein". Lineage: Eukaryota; Metazoa; Annelida; Polychaeta; Dinophilidae. The record is from RNAcentral.